Molecule: long non-coding RNA, 1302 nt
Filed under: Nicotiana tabacum (common tobacco)
Lineage: Eukaryota; Viridiplantae; Streptophyta; Magnoliopsida; Solanales; Solanaceae
Description: long non-coding RNA (NTAB_LNC018654)
Source: RNAcentral
GGAAUUAUUAACUUUGCUUUGUUUAGUAUUGCUCUCAAGGGAGGAAGAGAAGUUGAGUUUGUCGGGCUUCAAUUCUAUACCAAUAAGGAAAUAUACAGGGAUUUAAUGUAAGAGGUUUAUAUAUACACAUGAAUUUCCGGUGACCUCUGUUCUUUAAUUGAACAAGUUGCUCCAUCUUGUCAAUAUAGCGUGAGAUUUUUGCAAAUUUUAGGAAGUACGGUGUAAUCUUUCACAAAAGAAUCGGCUCAGGUAUGUUAAGGCUAUCCCUUCUUUCUUUUGGCAUGAUCCAUACGAUACGAACAAAACGUGCAAAUGUGCAAAUUCCAUAAAUGACUCUAUUCAUAGAAGUAUUAUAGAUAUUUAUGUCCCUGAAUUUCCAUGUGUCAUAAUAUUUUAUCAUCUGCUCAUGGGUCUCAGAAAAAUAUGAAAGUUGAAAAAAAAAGUUUACUUUAUGAGAUUGCUCAAGACAAAAUGGUCUUAUGAAAUUCUGAAAGAUUUUAUUAACGUACUUUUCAUGUAUUGCAUUCAUGUGCAUUAACCCAUGACCAGAUGGUGUUAUAUACGCGUAUAUAUGUAAAUAUAUGUAUAUGGGAUAUGGAAAAAGUUUAUGGCAUUAUAUACGCACCACCACCUGAUCAACUAGUAUAUGAUGAUGAUGUUGCCCACAAUGGCUGAAAUAUGAUUCAAACGGCAUUAUAUAUGCGUAUGUAUAUAUGUAUAUGGGAUAUGGGAAAUGUUAUGGCGUUAUAUACACACCACCACCUGAUCAGCUGGUAUACGAUAAUGAUUUUGCCCGCAGUGGCUAAUAUGAUAUGAUGGGAUGCCCUCAGAGGCUGAUGAUGUUAUAAAAUAUGUACCUAUGCACGACAUGACAUUCAUACGCAUACGCAUGACGCUAAAAGUAAUUUAUGAUUUACAAAGUUAUUCAGACUUACAAGUUGAGUCAUGUACUCUAUAUGUCUUCCAUGUCUCUUAUGUAUUUAUUUAUGUACCUUACAUACUCAGUACAUUAUUCGUACUGACGUCCCUUUUGCCUGGGGACGUUGUGUUUCAUGUCCACAGGUCUCGAUAGACAGGUCGAGAGCCCUCCAUGUAGGCUAUCAGCUCAGCGAAAGAUGUUGGUGCGCUCUAUUUGCUUCGGAGUUGUUGUUUGAUUAGUAUGAGUUAGAUGUAUAUUGUUUGGUAUGGCGGGACUCUGUCUCGACCUUUAUGAUAUUUAUGUAUUCUUAGAGGCUUGUAGACGUAUGUCGUGUACAUAAAAGAUUGUACGGCCUUGUUGGCCUAUGUUUUGAGUUUAUAAAG